ACAUGCAGUCGAACGAACUUCCGUUAAUUGAUUAUGACGUGCUUGCACUGAAUGAGAUUUUAACACGAAGUGAGUGGCGGACGGGUGAGUAACACGUGGGUAACCUGCCCAGAAGCAGGGGAUAACACCUGGAAACAGAUGCUAAUACCGUAUAACAGAGAAAACCGCCUGGUUUUCUUUUAAAAGAUGGCUCUGCUAUCACUUCUGGAUGGACCCGCGGCGCAUUAGCUAGUUGGUGAGGUAACGGCUCACCAAGGCGAUGAUGCGUAGCCGACCUGAGAGGGUAAUCGGCCACAUUGGGACUGAGACACGGCCCAGACUCCUACGGGAGGCAGCAGUAGGGAAUCUUCCACAAUGGACGCAAGUCUGAUGGAGCAACGCCGCGUGAGUGAAGAAGGGUUUCGGCUCGUAAAGCUCUGUUGUUAAAGAAGAACGUGGGUGAGAGUAACUGUUCACCCAGUGACGGUAUUUAACCAGAAAGCCACGGCUAACUACGUGCCAGCAGCCGCGGUAAUACGUAGGUGGCAAGCGUUAUCCGGAUUUAUUGGGCGUAAAGCGAGCGCAGGCGGUCUUUUAAGUCUAAUGUGAAAGCCUUCGGCUCAACCGAAGAAGUGCAUUGGAAACUGGGAGACUUGAGUGCAGAAGAGGACAGUGGAACUCCAUGUGUAGCGGUGAAAUGCGUAGAUAUAUGGAAGAACACCAGUGGCGAAGGCGGCUGUCUGGUCUGUAACUGACGCUGAGGCUCGAAAGCAUGGGUAGCGAACAGGAUUAGAUACCCUGGUAGUCCAUGCCGUAAACGAUGAUUACUAAGUGUUGGAGGGUUUCCGCCCUUCAGUGCUGCAGCUAACGCAUUAAGUAAUCCGCCUGGGGAGUACGACCGCAAGGUUGAAACUCAAAAGAAUUGACGGGGGCCCGCACAAGCGGUGGAGCAUGUGGUUUAAUUCGAAGCUACGCGAAGAACCUUACCAGGUCUUGACAUCUUCUGCCAACCUAAGAGAUUAGGCGUUCCCUUCGGGGACAGAAUGACAGGUGGUGCAUGGUUGUCGUCAGCUCGUGUCGUGAGAUGUUGGGUUAAGUCCCGCAACGAGCGCAACCCUUAUUACUAGUUGCCAGCAUUCAGUUGGGCACUCUAGUGAGACUGCCGGUGACAAACCGGAGGAAGGUGGGGACGACGUCAAAUCAUCAUGCCCCUUAUGACCUGGGCUACACACGUGCUACAAUGGAUGGUACAACGAGUCGCGAAACCGCGAGGUUUAGCUAAUCUCUUAAAACCAUUCUCAGUUCGGACUGUAGGCUGCAACUCGCCUACACGAAGUCGGAAUCGCUAGUAAUCGCGGAUCAGCAUGCCGCGGUGAAUACGUUCCCGGGCCUUGUACACACCGCCCGUCACACCUAUGAAGG
This 1401-nucleotide ribosomal RNA is filed under the name Pediococcus acidilactici. RNAcentral's name for it is "bacterial SSU rRNA". It matches the Rfam family "Bacterial small subunit ribosomal RNA", at positions 53 to 1411 of the family's 1533-position model. The record is from RNAcentral. Lineage: Bacteria; Bacillati; Bacillota; Bacilli; Lactobacillales; Lactobacillaceae.